Molecule: ribosomal RNA, 232 nt
Filed under: uncultured bacterium
Lineage: Bacteria
Description: partial 16S ribosomal RNA
Rfam family: Bacterial small subunit ribosomal RNA
Source: RNAcentral
CGGACGGGUGAGUAAUGUCUGGGAAACUGCCCGAUGGAGGGGGAUAACUACUGGAAACGGUAGCUAAUACCGCAUAACGUCGCAAGACCAAAGAGGGGGACCUUAGGGCCUCUUGCCAUCGGAUGUGCCCAGAUGGGAUUAGCUAGUAGGUGGGGUAAUGGCUCACCUAGGCGACGAUCCCUAGCCGGUCUGAGAGGAUGACCAGCCACACUGGAACUGAGACACGGUCCAG